ACAUAUAUGCAAAUUAAAAAUAGCAACAUUUCAUAUAACAGUAAACAAAUAUCUUUUCACCUUAACAAUUUUAUUUUUAAAAAAAAAAAUUUCAAUGAAAACAAUAAAUUGAACAAUUCAUUUUUUUACUUGAACUUAUAUGCAAAACAAAAAAAUUUGGAAGACGGAGAAACACAAGGUGGCAUAAAAAAAAAGCAAAAUAUAAAACUAAAUGAUGAUGAUGAUGAUGGUGAUUACAAAGUUAAUGUGUUAGCAGCUACAAACAUAGCACAUGCGCCUCUUUUUAGCAGUGAAUGUAGCUUGAGUAAAGAAGAUAAACAAAAUAAACAAAAUGGACAAAAUGGACAAGAGGGAGCACAGAAUAAAAGCUUUAUUAAAGAAAGGCAGAUUAAAAUAAAUGAAUAUAAAAAUAACUGUGAAACUAGGAAUCUUGCAAAUUAUAUACAACGUAGGGAAAAUGAAGAAGCAACGUUAAAAAAGGACAAUCAAGAGGAAGACGGAGUAAAGGGUGAAACAUAUAGUAAUAUAUAUGACAAAAAAGAAGACGAAAAAAAUGAAGGAACAGAUAACUGUUUAAAUACUAAGAAUGUAAAAAAAAAGAAAAAGAAAACCCUCGAAUUAAAAAUUAUAAAAAAAUUGCCUUUAGUAUCAAUAAUAGGUAGACCUAAUGUUGGUAAAUCUACUUUAUUUAAUAGACUAACUCAUAAGUUUCAAGAUGGUAGUAUUGUAUUAGAUCAAAUUGGUACUACUAGAAAUAAUUUUUAUGGAAUGGUUGACUGGGAUGGAUAUAGAUUUGAACUUGUAGACACAGGUGGGUUUGUUUUUGACGAUUAUAAUUUUUCAAAAGAUAUAAGAAAUCAAAUUUUACUAGCCCUUAAAGAGUCUUCUGUAGUUCUGUUCACUGUUGAUGGUAUCAAUGGGGUACAUCCUAUCGAUUUAGACAUAUGUAAAUUUUUACGAAAAUAUAUUAAAAAUAAGAAUAAAGAGGAAAUGGGUAUGGAGGACUACAUCAAGGUGCGUAGUGAAGAGGGGAAAGAAAAUGACUACACACAAUGUUACGAAAACGAAACCGAUGCAAACAAAAAAGAACAACAUAAUACGAAUGUGAAUACCAAAUUAAAAAUAAUUGUUUGUGUGAAUAAAUGUGAAUCAUAUAAAGAUGGUUAUGUUAGGGCACAAGAUUUUUGGCAGUUAGGGUUCGGAACACCAUUUCCUUGUAGUGGUAUACAUGGUAAUGGUUUUGCUGAAAUAUUAGAUGAAUGUAUAAAACAUAUUAAAAAAAUUAACAUAGACGAAUUAGAAGAAAAAGAAAACGAAGAAAAUACAAUUAAUGUCAGUGUGGUUGGUAAACCUAAUACAGGAAAAACAAGUAUUUUAAAUAAUAUUUUAAAUUGUAAUCGUUUUAUUGUUUCUCCAAUAGCAGGAACAACAGUUGAUUCUGUUGAUGUUUUGGUAAAAAUAAAAAAUAAAAAUAGCCUAUUUCGACUUAUUGAUACUGCUGGUAUACAAAAAAUAAAAAGAACGAAACAUAUGACAUUUAAUGAUAAAACAAAAUAUGAUUAUCUAUUAUACAACAGAACAGAGAAAGCUAUAAAAAGAAGUGACGUUUGUAUAUUAGUAAUUGAUUCUUUUAAUGGAAUAAAUUC
Molecule: long non-coding RNA, 1646 nt
Filed under: Piliocolobus tephrosceles (Ugandan red Colobus)
Lineage: Eukaryota; Metazoa; Chordata; Mammalia; Primates; Cercopithecidae
Description: lncRNA (ENSPTEG00000008881.1)
Source: RNAcentral